Molecule: non-coding RNA, 220 nt
Organism: Pelobates cultripes (western spadefoot toad)
Lineage: Eukaryota; Metazoa; Chordata; Amphibia; Anura; Pelobatidae
Source: the annotation of a GenBank genome assembly
CAUGCCCCAGUAUCACUUAAACUUAAAUCACCGCUUUUCCGUCCCACGUCCCCGAAAUGGAGACUUAACGAAUACUUACUCUCCAAACUGGAGGUCGCGGCCCUCAUAGGCGAGAAAAUCAGGGAAUACCUAAUAACUAACUACAGUAAAUCAUUCAUCCUCAACGUUAGCAUGCCUACCGCACGAGCGGAUCCCCAAACUAUGGAAGACGGUGGAGGAG